GGAUUUAUUGGUAUGUUGUCUUGCUGGUUCAUACCCGGAGUGUCAUAGGUUCGAAUCCUAUCGGAGCCA
Molecule: transfer RNA, 69 nt
Filed under: Oscillospiraceae bacterium
Lineage: Bacteria; Bacillati; Bacillota; Clostridia; Eubacteriales; Oscillospiraceae
Description: tRNA-Met
Source: RNAcentral